GACGAACGCUGGCGGCGUGCCUAAUACAUGCAAGUAGAACGCACAGUUUAUACCGUAGCUUGCUACACCAUAGACUGUGAGUUGCGAACGGGUGAGUAACGCGUAGGUAACCUGCCUGGUAGCGGGGGAUAACUAUUGGAAACGAUAGCUAAUACCGCAUAAUAUUGAUUAUUGCAUGAUAAUUAAUUGAACGGUGCAAUUGCACCACUACCAGAUGGACUUGCGUUGUAUUAGCUAGUAGGUGAGGUAACGGCUCACCUAGGCGACGAUACAUAGCCGACCUGAGAGGGUGAUCGGCCACACUGGGACUGAGACACGGCCCAGACUCCUACGGGAGGCAGCAGUAGGGAAUCUUCGGCAAUGGACGAAAGUCUGACCGAGCAACGCCGCGUGAGUGAAGAAGGUUUUCGGAUCGUAAAGCUCUGUUGUAAGAGAAGAACGGGUGUGAGAGUGGAAAGUUCACACUGUGACGGUAUCUUACCAGAAAGGGACGGCUAACUACGUG
Molecule: ribosomal RNA, 505 nt
Filed under: uncultured bacterium
Lineage: Bacteria
Description: partial 16S ribosomal RNA
Rfam family: Bacterial small subunit ribosomal RNA
Source: RNAcentral